Molecule: ribosomal RNA, 502 nt
Filed under: uncultured bacterium
Lineage: Bacteria
Description: bacterial SSU rRNA
Rfam family: Bacterial small subunit ribosomal RNA
Source: RNAcentral
GAUGAACGCUGGCGGCGUGCCUAACACAUGCAAGUCGAACGGGACUAUUUCGAAAGGCGGCUUCGGCCAAAAUUUGGAUUAGUCUAGUGGCGGACGGGUGAGUAACGCGUGAGCAACCUGCCCUUCAGAGGGGGACAACAGCUGGAAACGGCUGCUAAUACCGCAUAUUGCAACGAGAUCGCAUGGUUUUGUUGUGAAAGAUUUAUCGCUGAAGGAUGGGCUCGCGUCUGAUUAGCUAGUUGGUGGGGUAACGGCCCACCAAGGCGACGAUCAGUAGCCGGACUGAGAGGUUGAACGGCCACAUUGGGACUGAGAUACGGCCCAGACUCCUACGGGAGGCAGCAGUGGGGAAUAUUGGGCAAUGGGCGCAAGCCUGACCCAGCAACGCCGCGUGAAGGAAGAAGGCUUUCGGGUUGUAAACUUCUUUGACCAGGGAAGAAACAAAUGACGGUACCUGGAAAACAAGCCACGGCUAACUACGUGCCAGCAGCCGCGGUAAAAC